RNAcentral lists this ribosomal RNA (463 nucleotides) under uncultured bacterium. Its description in RNAcentral is "partial 16S ribosomal RNA". It matches the Rfam family "Bacterial small subunit ribosomal RNA", at positions 28 to 507 of the family's 1533-position model. The record is from RNAcentral.
GAUGAACGCUGACAGAAUGCUUAACACAUGCAAGUCUUUGGCGAAUCUGUGCUUGCACAGGCUAGCCAAGGCGGACGGGUGAGUAACGCGUAAAGAACUUGCCCUGCAGACAGGGAUAACAGACGGAAACGACUGAUAACACCUGAUACAGUUGCCGGCACGCAUGUGCCUGGCAAUGAAAAGAGAUGCUGCAGGAGAGCUUUGCGUCCUAUUAGCUUGUUGGUGAGGUGACGGCUCACUAAGGCGAUGAUAGGUAGCCGGCCUGAGGGGGUGAACGGCCACUAGGGGAGUGAGAUACCCCCCUUACUCCUACGGGGGGGAACAGUGGGGAAUAUUGGACUAGGGGGGCAACUCUGAUCGAGCAAUUCUGUGUGCAAGAAGAAGGUUUUCGGAUUGUAAAGUGCUUUCAGCAGGGAAGAAGAAAGUGACGGUACCUGCAGAAGAAGCGACGGCUAACUACGUG